UAUGAUCUUUGCAAUAAUUUUCAACAAAAUAUGUAGUUUAACUAUAUACAACAUUCAUUGUUAAAUGAAGCUUUUGGAGCACGUACCCUGCCUCCAAGGCGACAAAAGUUGGCACACCACCAAAAAACGGAGAACAAGAUGAUGUUUUAAUUUGCAUUGCGACCGUUUAACAAGGUAGACGGACACAGACUAAAUCCGUGCUUGCACAAUGCCGGCGUUUACACCAACACAAUUACAACAAUUAUAACUUGCAGGCGCACGUCAUUUACAUGGCCGCUCUUUGCUUAAUGGCCCUUGGUUGAGUACCCGUCCAUUCAUUUUAGCAGCUGCAAGCCGCAGGGCAAACGGCAAAAUAAGCUCAGCUUGUCGAAAUAUUUUCUCCCACGCUCACGCAAAAGACAAAAUAAUUAUUUACAUCUAUUCCCUAUGUUCACUUCACUUCAUUAUAUAAACAAACAAAAGACGAAAGGUAAAGAAUUUACAUUUCAAUCGGAUAUAGAAAUGCGAAACACAUCCAGACGACUAUGAAAAAAAAUUUUAUUGCAUACGGUAAAUAAUUAACAAAAAGUAGUUAGUCAAAUAGAGAUUGCAUAAGCUAAGAACGGGGUGUGUCUUUACACACAAUACAACCGAUUAGCAGAGCAGACGCGCACAGACUAAACCGCGCCUGAGCUAAGAUAAAAUUACCCCUACGCUCUCACCAUCCACAAUGCGCUCAGCUGGAUAAAAAGGGAUCGAAGGCAUACGCGCUAAUGACAUGAGUUUAGUAGACAUUAGAUACUAGAAAUCUCUUAAAAUUCUCUCUUUUGUAUGAGAUGGCUGAAAUGGAAUCAGAAGCAACGGCGCAUAAACAGGAAUAGAAUGAACGAGUAUUUCCAACGCUGACACCACUCACAAUAUCAAUUGUCUGGAUAGAUGCUCUCUGGCCGUGUGGUUAUCCGCAAUGUAGAUGUUAAUAUUAAAAAAAAAAAACUAUAUGAGAUGUAUGGAUGUAGGUAUAUGCUGUGCAUACUCGAUAAUCUAAGAUCGCUGGAAUAUUGUCCUACUACGAUAUACUGUAACGCUUUAUACUGCUUAAUGUCAGGAAAACGUUAGUUGAAGAGUAUUAAAAUUAAAAGAUACGCAACCAAAACAAAGUUGGAACUUAAAAA
This is a long non-coding RNA of Drosophila novamexicana, 1151 nucleotides long. RefSeq lists it as uncharacterized. The record is from RefSeq and is a predicted model, not a curated record. Lineage: Eukaryota; Metazoa; Arthropoda; Insecta; Diptera; Drosophilidae. The transcript is spliced from 3 exons.